AAGAUUUUAGCUUAAUAAAAGUAUCUGGGUUGCAUUCAGAAGAUGUGAGAUAAAAUCUUGCAAAUCUUA
Molecule: transfer RNA, 69 nt
Filed under: Squalus acanthias (spiny dogfish)
Lineage: Eukaryota; Metazoa; Chordata; Chondrichthyes; Squaliformes; Squalidae
Also listed under: 2 other names
Description: transfer RNA-Ala
Rfam family: tRNA
About the family: Transfer RNA (tRNA) molecules are approximately 80 nucleotides in length. Their secondary structure includes four short double-helical elements and three loops (D, anti-codon, and T loops).
Source: RNAcentral